RNAcentral lists this ribosomal RNA (515 nucleotides) under uncultured bacterium. RNAcentral's name for it is "partial 16S ribosomal RNA". It matches the Rfam family "Bacterial small subunit ribosomal RNA", at positions 28 to 523 of the family's 1533-position model. The record is from RNAcentral.
GAUGAACGCUGGCGGCGUGCCUAAUACAUGCAAGUCGAGCGAAUGGAUUAAGAGCUUGCUCUUAUGAAGUUAGCGGCGGACGGGUGAGUAACACGUGGGUAACCUGCCCAUAAGACUGGGAUAACUACGGGAAACCGGGGCUAAUACCGGAUAACAUUUUGAACCGCAUGGUUCGAAAUUGAAAGGCGGCUUCGGCUGUCACUUAUGGAUGGACACGCGUCGCAUUAGCUAGUGGGUGAGGUAACGGCUCACCAAGGCAACGAUGCGUAGCCGACCUGAGAGGGUGAGCGGCCACACUGGGACUGAGACACGGCCCAGACUCCUACGGGAGGCAGCAGUAGGGAAACUUCCGCAAUGGACGAAAGUCUGACGGAGCAACGCCGCGUGAGUGAUGAAGGCUUUCGGGUCGUAAAACUCUGUUGUUAGGGAAGAACAAGUGCUAGUUGAAUAAGCUGGCACCUUGACGGUACCUAACCAGAAAGCCACGGCUAACUACGUGCCAGCCGCCGCCGUAA